This 497-nucleotide ribosomal RNA is filed under the name uncultured bacterium. RNAcentral describes it as "partial 16S ribosomal RNA". It matches the Rfam family "Bacterial small subunit ribosomal RNA", at positions 28 to 507 of the family's 1533-position model. The record is from RNAcentral.
GAUGAACGCUGGCGGCGUGCCUAAUACAUGCAAGUCGAGCGAACAGAUGCGGCUCUUGCUCCUCUGACGUUUGCGGCGGACGGGUGAGUAACACGUGUAUCCCCUACCUAUCAGACUGGGAUCACUUCGGGAAACCGGCUCUAAUCCCGGAUAAUAUCUUGAACCGCAUGGUUCAUUAGUGAAAUACGGUUUUUCUGUCUCUUCUAGCUGGAUCCGCGCCGCAUUAGCUAGUUGGUAAGGUAACGGCUUAUCACGGCAACGAUGCGUAGCCGACCUGAGAGGGUGAUCGGCCACCCGGGAACUGAGACACGGUCAAGACGCCUAAGGGAGGCAGCAGUAGGGAAUCGGACGCAAUGGGCGAAAGCCUGACGGAGCAACGCGGCGUGAGAGAUGAAGGUCUUCGGAGCGGAAAACUCGGUUAUUAGGGAAGAACAGAUGUGGAAGGAAAUAAGCACGGAGUGACGGUAACGGAUAAGAAAGCAACGGCUAACUACGUG